Molecule: ribosomal RNA, 255 nt
Filed under: uncultured bacterium
Lineage: Bacteria
Description: partial 16S ribosomal RNA
Rfam family: Bacterial small subunit ribosomal RNA
Source: RNAcentral
UACGAAGGGGCUAGCGUUGCUCGGAAUUACUGGGCGUAAAGCGCACGUAGGCGGGUCGUUAAGUCGGGGGUGAAAUCCUGGAGCUCAACUCCAGAACUGCCUUCGAAACUGACGAUCUUGAGUUCGGGAGAGGUGAGUGGAACUGCGAGUGUAGAGGUGAAAUUCGUAGAUAUUCGCAAGAACACCAGUGGCGAAGGCGGCUCUCUGGGCAGAUACGUGACGCUGAGACGCGAAAAGCGUGGGUAGCAAACGAGG